UUUGGCAGAGCAAAACCUGCACCAGUGCCUAUUACAGAUGUACCAGAGGAACGUCUAAUAGGUCUUCCACAACAGAAGAGCACUGACCCAAAAGUAGACCCUUGUUCCGUAGUGGAACUUGGAUGUGUGGCUGGAACAUCCCCUCGCACUAGGGUUUCACAUAAAAAGGCAACUGAGCAGCCAUCCAGUGUGCUCUCGGAGUUUGUGGAAGGCUGCAGAGAUCUACCAAGGGAGAGCUGGGAUUUGGAAGGCUCUCUGGCCAUUGUGAAGAAGAAGAAAAAGAAACCAAAACAAAAGAGAAACCAGCUGCCAAGAACAAUGGAGUUCUGGGAUGAAAAUGGAACAGUCUCAAAAGGUCCUAGAAAUUCUCCAUUUGCUGUUGAAUUGCAAAAGCCAGAUGUCUGUCCUGUAAUGCCUGCUGAAGCUCGCACAGAGCAGUCAAUUGCCUCAGGAAACAGAGCUUCGGAUAUGCCAAAGGAUGCUAAAAAAAUAACUGGAAGUCAUAUCCUGGAUGAGCAAAAUGCCUUUUUGGUGCCAGCACCAGGACAGCAGGCCCCAAAACCCAGUGCAGCGUUAGAAUUGGUGUUGGAUGCAAAAAAUAGAGAGGUCAUGAAAACAGAAGAAAUGAGAGAUGACAGUUUGAUGUUGCAGUCUAAAGGCAAAAGAAAAGAGGUUCCCUUGGAACAGCUAGAGAAGACUAAGGUGGGGGAAUCUGUUACAGCAAAGGGGCCAACCAAGCCCGUGGAAAGAGAUUUCUUGAUAAAAAUGAGGAGUAUAGGGAGUCAAAAUGUGCUGGUCUGACAGCAUAUCCUUUGGAAGCAAUAAAUCUAAGCAAAGUAGAAACUCCUUUAGAGACCAAACUUUCAGAAUUGCUUCUUUCUGACAGAGAUAAGGAGGCUAAAUCCCCAUCCCCCAGGAGUGAGGCAUUCAGUGACCCUGUCCAUUGUGAGGUUCAGACCUCCAACAGGUCACUGGAAGCAGCAGCAAAGAAAAGAGGUACUUGUGAAAAAAGCAAAAGGGUUGGAAAUGAACUCUUCAAACAGCCCAUGCUUCCAGAGGCUGCGGCUCCAUCGGACAAGCUUCCUAAUGAGCCGAAGGCAGCUCAUGAAACUAAAACAGUGUCCCCCAAUAAGUGCAUGGCUGUUGACUUUAGUACUUCAGAGGCAGGCUUGAAGAUCCCAACAGAUACCACAGAAAUUCCCGUUGCACCAUUAGUUGUACCAAACCCCAAGGAAGUUACUGCUUCGCAAAACAGAAAGGCUGAUAGUUUUUCAGAGCAGCCAUUUCUUCUGUUGGCCACGUCUGAUGCAACCAAACAUCCCACCUCCACUGAAGCAGUGGAAGGAAUGAUGGGAGCAGGUUCCCCUGAUAAAAACAAAGGGAAAGGAUUUAUUGCAUUAGAGCAGCAGGCUGGAAGAGAUCCAAAUAUUGCACAUGGGAUGGACAGACCUAAAAAAAAGCGUGGUGAAGGGAAAGUAAAAAAAAUCAAAAGCUUCUCCGAGCAGGUGAUGUUUUCAGAGGAUGUAAGCAAACUAACUGAUGGAGUGAGGAUAGAUGAGAAUAGAAAAGAUACAACUUACCCUGAUAAAGGUAGAGGUUUUGCUGCUAGAGGACAUCCGUCAGUAAGCAUUACACAUGCUUAUCCUGCAGACAAGCCCAAAAAAAGAGGUAGUGAUGGAAGAAGCAAAAAAGGUGAAAGAAGUUUUUUCCAGCAGCCUUUUCUUGAGAGCAAGAUGGACCCGAGUAGUUUUCCUGACAUAACUGAUAAAACUAAGGAGGUUAGUGUUAGUGAAAAAGGCAGAGAGAGGGUCUGGGUUACUGCUGAGUGUUUUCAGGAGAAUAUAUCAGAUAUAAGUAAAAUGCAAAGGCCAAUUGAACUGGGAACAGAGGAGCCUAAAGAAAAUGUUGGAAAAAAUGAAACAGCCAAUUUGGGUGCUUUAGACGAACCAUUCCUGCUGGAGAGUAGGAGAGAGGAGGCAAAGCAUCUUCCUAUGGCUGACACAAUCAACAAAACAGAAGAGGUAGAUUUGAUUAACAAAGGCAAGGAGGCUGGCAUUACUUCUGAAUCAGUGGUGAGGAAUUCUGAUGCAUUGCUGGUGGCAGACAAACCUAGAAAGAGGAGCAGUGAGGGGAAAAGAAAAAACCUGAAAAA
Long non-coding RNA from Strigops habroptila (Kakapo), 2152 nucleotides. The record is from Ensembl. Lineage: Eukaryota; Metazoa; Chordata; Aves; Psittaciformes; Psittacidae.